AAAACUAUGUUGUCAGGGAUCAUUUUUAUAGUUAAUGAGGGGAGUAAUGUGCUUUAAAGUGUCCAAACACACCAGCCACCAUGAUGAGUUUAAGGUCUCUCUUCUCAGCAUGAAGGCAGUUAGUAUCUCUAUUUCAUACAGAUGUUUGUUUUAGAUGAUUGUGCUACUUCUUUUAAAAUAAGUGGUACAAAAGUGCUCUUUCAGAGUGGC
Pseudophryne corroboree (corroboree frog) is the source of this 210-nucleotide small nucleolar RNA. RefSeq annotates it as small nucleolar RNA U3. The record is from RefSeq and is a predicted model, not a curated record. NCBI's taxonomy places the organism in Eukaryota, Metazoa, Chordata, Amphibia, Anura, Myobatrachidae. The transcript has a single exon.